This 582-nucleotide small RNA is filed under the name Pongo abelii (Sumatran orangutan). RNAcentral's name for it is "processed transcript". Lineage: Eukaryota; Metazoa; Chordata; Mammalia; Primates; Hominidae. The record is from RNAcentral.
GUGUUCCGACCCGCUAGGCCCCGCGCGGCUCGGAUCCGGCGGCGCUGUUUCGGUCGGGAGUGGGUGGGAGAGAAGCCGGGGCAGGGGAGGAGCCGCCGGAGCUGUCGGAGCCGUGACACCCAGGGCAGCUACACUCAGAAGCCACAAGGAAUGCUAGCGGAGCCCCUCAUCCCUUCCAGCUUCUCUUCCAAGCUGCCCCGUGGGGCUUGAUCCAGGAAGCUACUUCAGAAAGGUUGUGGGAUAGCCUUGGGAGGUUUGUUGGUGGGAAGCGUGUGAACGCGGAGCAGUCUUGGAUAACUUUCUGCUGUUACUAUCUAGCAUAAGCGGGUGGGCAGGGUUGGAGAGAGGACAGGAAUUUUUCCUCCUAGGACCAAACGCCUGGGAUUCAUAAUCUUUCACCCUUUCUCCUCCAGCUAUACCCUUUUUGUACUCUGUGUAUAUACUAUAUUGCAGUAGACAAUCAUUCCAAGGGUACAACAAGGUUUACUACAAUGUGAGGGACUCAGCCAUUGCAAAUUCUCUAGAUGGUGUGAGACCACCCCAAAGCCAAGAAAUGGCUACAGCCGUGGAACCAGAGGACCA